ACCUACUGCUGCGUUAUUACUGUUGCACCUGCUGCUGCAUUAUUACUGCUGCACCUGCUGCCUUACCCCACUGUUGCUGCAACAUAUUUCUGCCGGUACAAAACUGCUCUGCUGCACCUGCUACCUCUACCUCACUGCUGCUGCUACGUACUACUGCCGUUACAAUACUGCUGUCGCUGCACACUGCUGCCUUUACAUCACUGCUGCUACUCUCUCUACAAUCGGCUGGAUGUAUCUUCUUCAACUAAAAGUGAACUACAACCUCUUUAUUUUGGAGGACCUUGAUCUCUUCUUCUCUCCUCAGAUCUGAAUACCAGUAUGGCUGCUACCUUGAAGGCGACUCAGACCCUAGAGGAUUACCUCCAAAGUCCUCCUCUGCUGUGGGUUACAAGACUGGUUUCAAAACUGAACUUCACUAUACCACCAGGGUCAAUUUCAGGCUCUUCUCGCAGCCUUCCAGCCUGCAGAUCCAAGUGCUUGUCUUGUGGGUUUGCUAGAGCCCUGUCCUGAGAAUCUCCGCUUGAAGUUUCAAAGCAAAUCGAGGCCUGGUGAAGAGUUUCUCUGGAUCUGAGUUACACCCCUGCUUUGGUCCAAGGAAGACAAUCCCCAUCGUGAGUUAGGGUGUUUAAUUCUUUUUAUUCUGAUUUCCUAUUAUGCCCUCCUAUUUGUUUUAAAUUCCCCAUCUCCCCUACUUCUAUUUUACUUCCUAGAUUACCCUCAUCAAGUAACCAAUAAUUCCUUUUAAGUCCCCUCUCUCAAACAGCUCAUUAAUAAUCUGGAUAUUUACAAUA
Macadamia integrifolia is the source of this 791-nucleotide long non-coding RNA. RefSeq lists it as uncharacterized. Lineage: Eukaryota; Viridiplantae; Streptophyta; Magnoliopsida; Proteales; Proteaceae. The transcript has 2 exons. The record is from RefSeq and is a predicted model, not a curated record.